GAUGAACGCUGGCGGCGUGCCUAAUACAUGCAAGUCGAGCGAACAGACGAGGAGCUUGCUCCUCUGACGUUAGCGGCGGACGGGUGAGUAACACGUGGAUAACCUACCUAUAAGACUGGAUAACUUCGGGAAACCGGAGCUAAUACCGGAUAAUAUAUUUAACCGCAAGGUUCCAUAGUGAAAAACGGUUUUGCUGUCCAUUUAUGAAUGAUCCGCGCCGCAUUAGCUAGUUGGUAAGGUAACGGCUUACCAAGGCAACGAUGCUUAGCCGACCUGAGAGGGUGAUCGGCCACACUGGAACUGAGACACGGUCCAGACUCCUACGGGAGGCAGCAGUAGGGAAUCUUCCGCAAUGGGCGAAAGCCUGACGGAGCAACGCCGCGUGAGUGAUGAAGGUCUUCGGAUCGUAAAACUCUGUUAUUAGGGAAGAACAAAUGUGUAAGUAACUAUGCACGUCUUGACGGUACCUAAUCAGAAAGCCACGGCUAACUACGUG
RNAcentral lists this ribosomal RNA (496 nucleotides) under uncultured bacterium. Its description in RNAcentral is "partial 16S ribosomal RNA". It matches the Rfam family "Bacterial small subunit ribosomal RNA", at positions 28 to 507 of the family's 1533-position model. The record is from RNAcentral.